RNAcentral lists this ribosomal RNA (274 nucleotides) under uncultured bacterium. Its description in RNAcentral is "partial 16S ribosomal RNA". It matches the Rfam family "Bacterial small subunit ribosomal RNA", at positions 523 to 796 of the family's 1533-position model. The record is from RNAcentral.
AUACGAAGGUCCCAAGCGUUAUUCGGAAUCACUGGGCGUAAAGAGUACGUAGGCGGUUUGGUAAGUCAGGUGUGAAAUCCCGGAGCUCAACUCCGGAACUGCAUCCGAUACUGCCAGACUAGAGUAAUGGAGAGGCAGGUGGAAUUCUCGGUGUAGCAGUGAAAUGCGUGGAUAUCGAGAGGAAGACCAAUGGCGAAGGCAGCCUGCUGGACAUUUACUGACGCUGAGAUACGAAGGCUAGGGGAGCGAAAGGGAUUAGAAACCCGGGUAGUCC